AUGCAAGUCGAACGGAAAAGUGGUGUUUGCAGCAGCGAACCGGUGAGUAAUGCAUAAGAACAUGUCCUUAGAAGGAGAACAACAACAGAAAACGGUUGUUAAUACCUUGUAGGCUGAGGAGCAAAAAAGGAAAAAUCUGCCUAAGGAGAAACUCACAUCUGAUUAGCUAGUUGGUGAGGCAAUAGCUUACAAGGAUGAUCAGUAACUAUUCCGGAAGGAUGAUCAGCCGUGGGAAAUAUUGAACUCGAAAUAAUAAGGCAUGCUGCA
This 267-nucleotide non-coding RNA is filed under the name Sorghum bicolor (sorghum). RNAcentral's name for it is "Bacterial small subunit ribosomal RNA". It matches the Rfam family "Bacterial small subunit ribosomal RNA", at positions 55 to 353 of the family's 1533-position model. The record is from Rfam by way of RNAcentral. Lineage: Eukaryota; Viridiplantae; Streptophyta; Magnoliopsida; Poales; Poaceae.